RNAcentral lists this ribosomal RNA (303 nucleotides) under uncultured Fusobacterium sp. RNAcentral describes it as "bacterial SSU rRNA". It matches the Rfam family "Bacterial small subunit ribosomal RNA", at positions 1212 to 1513 of the family's 1533-position model. Lineage: Bacteria; Fusobacteriati; Fusobacteriota; Fusobacteriia; Fusobacteriales; Fusobacteriaceae. The record is from RNAcentral.
GGCUACACACGUGCUACAAUGGGUAGUACAGAGAGUCGCAAAGCCGCGAGGUGGAGCUAAUCUCAGAAAACUAUUCUUAGUUCGGAUUGUACUCUGCAACUCGAGUACAUGAAGUUGGAAUCGCUAGUAAUCGCGAAUCAGCAAUGUCGCGGUGAAUACGUCCUCGGGUCUUGUACACACCGCCCGUCACACCACGAGAGUUGGUUGCACCUGAAGUAGCAGGCCUAACCGUAAGGAGGGAUGCUCCGAGGGUGUGAUUAGCGAUUGGGGUGAAGUCGUAACAAGGUAUCCGUACGGGAACGU